This is a non-coding RNA of Rhamnusium bicolor, 82 nucleotides long. The record is from the annotation of a GenBank genome assembly. Lineage: Eukaryota; Metazoa; Arthropoda; Insecta; Coleoptera; Cerambycidae.
GGCAUGGUAGCUUAGUGGGUAUAGCGCUUAUAGCGAUUUACUGGGUAUCAAAUAUCGAUGGUUCGAAUCCAUCCCGGCGCUA